CAGCAGCCACGGGAACACAGAGGGUGCGAGCGUUAAUCGGAUUUACUGGGCGUAAAGCGUGCGUAGGCGGCUUCUUAAGUCGGAUGUGAAAUCCCUGAGCUUAACUUAGGAAUUGCAUUCGAUACUGGGAAGCUAGAGUAUGGGAGAGGAUGGUAGAAUUCCAGGUGUAGCGGUGAAAUGCGUAGAGAUCUGGAGGAAUACCGAUGGCGAAGGCAGCCAUCUGGCCUAAUACUGACGCUGAGGUACGAAAGCAUGGGGAGCAAACAGGAUUAGAUACCCCGGUAGUCCCUGUCUCUUAUAC
Molecule: ribosomal RNA, 301 nt
Filed under: uncultured bacterium
Lineage: Bacteria
Description: partial 16S ribosomal RNA
Rfam family: Bacterial small subunit ribosomal RNA
Source: RNAcentral